UAUAAUUUUUGACUCUCUAUCUUAUUUAAUUUUUUUUACGAUUAAUAUUUUUGUUUUUAUUAGAUGAUAAAUCAUAAAUAGUACUUUACGUGUAACUAAUUUUUUUCUAAUUUUCUAAAACUUUUUUAAAUAAGACGGAUAAUUAAUUGGACACGGAAACCGAAG
This 165-nucleotide microRNA precursor is filed under the name Oryza brachyantha (malo sina). RNAcentral's name for it is "MIR812 microRNA precursor family". It matches the Rfam family "MIR812 microRNA precursor family", at positions 27 to 193 of the family's 205-position model. Lineage: Eukaryota; Viridiplantae; Streptophyta; Magnoliopsida; Poales; Poaceae. The record is from Rfam by way of RNAcentral.